RNAcentral lists this ribosomal RNA (688 nucleotides) under Culicoides neavei. RNAcentral's name for it is "eukaryotic LSU rRNA". Lineage: Eukaryota; Metazoa; Arthropoda; Insecta; Diptera; Ceratopogonidae. The record is from RNAcentral.
UGGGCUUAACUGAUGACCUAAAUAUCUGAAUGAGGAAAUUCAGCAUUAUUAUGUCAGAUGAUGGCAUAAUGGUGUGCACUUUUCUUCUAGUAAGACGUUGCGAUCCAUUAGAAAUGCUUAAAAUCUGUAUAUAGGCCCGAAUAGGAGUUUAUACAUUAAGCGAGUAACAUGGCUUUGUUGUUAUGUGAAUGCGUGUAAACUAUUUGGUGUUCUUACAGAUGUCUGAUGGUAUUAUGAAUAAAUGUCGCAUACAAUCACUAUAUAUAGUGAUCUCUCGUGUGUAUAUUGCGCAUAUUUUAUCCACCGCUUUAUAUAUUUGAGAUACCCUCGAGACCCCUCGUGAAACAGACACCAAAAUCUCAAUUGUGUGCGCGUCUCUGUGAUAUUAAUAACCCCUAUGCGAAAUGUGAUUUUAUUGUGAUAGUGAUAUUACAUGUGGUGUAAUAUAUACAAUAUUUCUCUCUCCCGGGAUAUCAUAGUGUAUAUAGCGCUCUCUCCCCCGUGUGCUCUACAGAGAUAUCGCGAGCGCACAAACUCUGACCCCGAGAUAUUGAGAUCUAUGUGAGAUCGUGGAGAUCUCGGGGACACUGAGAUGGGAGAGUAUCGCAUCUCACACGUACAUCUAUAGUGUCAGAGGUGUAUAUAGGCGCGAGAGACUCUCGAAUAUCUAUAUGUUUCUUUUUCAAAA